UAUAAAAUCAUUCCAUUAUAUUGACAAUUUCAAAAAACUGUUCAUACUAUUAUGAACGUAGUAUAAUGGCGGU
Molecule: transfer RNA, 73 nt
Filed under: Neustanthus phaseoloides
Lineage: Eukaryota; Viridiplantae; Streptophyta; Magnoliopsida; Fabales; Fabaceae
Description: tRNA-Glu
Source: RNAcentral